ACUCCUACGGGAGGCAGCAGUGGAGAAUCUUGCACAAUGGGCGCAAGCCUGAUGCAGCCACGCCGCGUGAGGGAAGAAGGCUUUCGAGUUGUAAACCUCUUUCAGCCGUGAAGAAGCGAGAGUGACGGUAACGGCAGAAGAAGCCCCGGCCAACUACGUGCCAGCAGCCGCGGUAAUACGUAGGGGGCGAGCGUUGUCCGGAAUUAUUGGGCGUAAAGCGCGUGUAGGCGGCCCUGUAAGUCGGAUGUGAAAUCCCAGAGCUCAACUCUGGAACUGCAUCCGAUACUGCAGGGCUUGAGGUAGGUAGAGGAAGGUGGAAUUUCCGGUGUAGCGGUGGAAUGCGCAGAUAUCGGAAGGAACACCGAUGGCGAAGGCAGCCUUCUGGGCCUCACCUGACGCUGAGACGCGAAAGCAUGGGGAGCGAACAGGAUUAGAUACCCUGGUAGCGAGUAG
Molecule: ribosomal RNA, 453 nt
Filed under: uncultured bacterium
Lineage: Bacteria
Description: bacterial SSU rRNA
Rfam family: Bacterial small subunit ribosomal RNA
Source: RNAcentral